AUGACUGAAGGCACUUUUAUGAUACUCUUCUUUUAUGAAGUUUCUCUCACUCUGCCCUCUCCCUCUAUCCUUCACUCCACCUCUCACUCUCUCCCCUCUCCCUCUAUCCUUCACUCCACCUCUCACUCUCUCCCCUCUCCCUCUAUCCUUUACUCCACCUCUCACUCUCUCCCCUCUCCCUCUAUCCUUCACUCCACCUCUCCCCUCUCCCUCUAUCCUUCACUCCACCUCUCCCCUCUCCCUCUAUCCUUCACUCCCUCUCCCCUCUCCCUCUAUCCUUCACUCCACCUCUCACUCUCUCCCCUCUCCCUCUAUCCUUUACUCCACCUCUCACUCUCUCCCCUCUCCCUCUAUCCUUCACUCCACCUCUCCCCUCUCCCUCUAUCCUUCACUCCACCUCUCCCCUCUCCCUCUAUCCUUCACUCCACCUCUCGCUCUCUCCUCUCCCUCUAUCCUUCACUCCACCUCUCGCUCUCUCCUCUCCCUCUAUCCUUCACUCCACCUCUCGCUCUCUCCUCUCCCUCUAUCCUUCACUCCACCUCUCGCUCUCUCCCCUCCCUCUAUCCUUCACUCCACCUCUCACUCUCUCCCCUCUCCCUCUAUCCUUCACUCCACCUCUCGCUCUCUCCUCUCCCUCUAUCCUUCACUCCACCUCUCGCUCUCUCCUCUCCCUCUAUCCUUCACUCCACCUCUCGCUCUCUCCUCUCCCUCUAUCCUUCACUCCACCUCUCGCUCUCUCCCCUCCCUCUAUCCUUCACUCCACCUCUCUCUCUCCUCUCCCUCUAUCUUUCACUCCACCUCUCGCUCUCCCCUCUCCCUCUAUCCUUCACUCCACCUCUCGCUCUCCCCUCUCCCUGUAUCCUUCACUCCACCUCUCGCUCUCUCCCCUCCCUCUAUCCUUCACUCCACCUCUCUCUCUCUCCUCUCCCUCUAUCCUUCACUCCACCUCUCGCUCUCUCCUCUCCCUCUAUCCUUCACUCCACCUCUCGCUCUCUCCCCUCCCUCUAUCCUUCACUCCACCUCUCGCUCUCUCCCCUCCCUCUAUCCUUCACUCCACCUCUCGCUCUCUCCCCUCCCUCUAUCCUUCACUCCACCUCUCGCUCUCUCCCCUCCCUCUAUCCUUCACUCCACCUCUCGCGCUCUCCCCUCCCUCGAGCCUUCACUCCACCUCUCGCGCUCUCCCCUCCCUCGAGCCUUCACUCCACCUCUCGCGCUCUCCCCUCCCUCGAGCCUUCACUCCACCUCUCGCUCUCUCCCCUCCCUCGAGCCUUCACUCCACCUCUCGCUCUCUCCCCUCCCUCUAUCCCCCUGACCUUGACAGUAGCACAGGUCAGACAGCUUGUCACGACAAAUGGGUUCCAGUUAUGA
Molecule: long non-coding RNA, 1368 nt
Filed under: Oncorhynchus kisutch (coho salmon)
Lineage: Eukaryota; Metazoa; Chordata; Actinopteri; Salmoniformes; Salmonidae
Description: lncRNA (ENSOKIG00005029349.1)
Source: RNAcentral